AGUCGUAACAAGGUAUCCGUAGGUGAACCUGCGGAUGGAUCAUUACCAAAGACCCGUUUCGAGUCUUGUGAACUGUUUUUCGGUGGUCAGUGUUUUCGCGUUUUUUUUAAUUUUUUUAAAAUUCGUGUUUGCGCUGGCUUCACCAACCAAACCAAACGUCUAAACCCUUUAACCAGAGUCACUUUAGCUUAAAACUAAAGACAACUUUUAGCAACGGAUCUCUUGGCUCUC
RNAcentral lists this unclassified non-coding RNA (231 nucleotides) under fungal sp. Its description in RNAcentral is "partial internal transcribed spacer region". The stretch from base 1 to 45 matches the Rfam family "Eukaryotic small subunit ribosomal RNA", at positions 1787 to 1831 of the family's 1831-position model. The record is from RNAcentral. Lineage: Eukaryota; Fungi.